This 2181-nucleotide long non-coding RNA is filed under the name Gossypium barbadense (sea-island cotton). RNAcentral describes it as "long non-coding RNA (GBAR_LNC016817)". Lineage: Eukaryota; Viridiplantae; Streptophyta; Magnoliopsida; Malvales; Malvaceae. The record is from RNAcentral.
ACAAUUCUGGUUUUUUGCCGCGCGAAAAUGCAACGAAAAAUCAAAGAAAAAAAGAGAGAAGAGAAGUUUGAAUUUACGAGGGAUUUCGGAUAAAAAAUUAAAAAAUAAACAGUAGUUCUCGCAAUUCAAGUGCAAUAUCCGGUGUUUCUUCGAAAUUUUACGUUGAAUCUUUGAAAUUCAGAGCAGAUUACGGGUGCGGAUAAUCGAUCUUCCAUUUCAUUUUCGUCUAGAUCAAGAUCUGGUAUGCUUGACCAUUAUUCUAUUACGAUCCUUCUGUUUUGGAAAUGAUCUGAAGUUUUGUUAGGUUUUUAAGGUUAUGCAUUUAGCUUUGUGAUGAAAUUUGCAUAUAUAAAUAAAUAAAACAGUGCUUUCAAGGGAGGGAGAGAUGAAGUAAUCGUUAAUUAUAUGCAAAACAAUUGAAAACUGGAAAUAUGCAAAUAAGGAUCACAUUUUUAGGUAGUUUUCAGGGAAAGAAAUAGCUAUCAAUUUUUUUUCUCAGUGAUACAAAUAGAAACAUCAAAACCAGGCAAUUAUGAUUAUAUAUAUAUUGGUAAUGAUCUGAAAUUUUGUUAGGUUAUUAAGGUUACGCAUUCAGUUUUGUGAUAAAAUUUGCCUUUAAAUGUAUAUAGAACUAGAUAAAACAGUACUUUCAAGGGAGGGAGAGAUGAUGUAAUCAUUAUUUAUAUGCAAAACAAUUGGAAACUGGAAAUAUGCAAAUAAGAAUCACAGAUUUAGGUACUUUACAGGGAAAGAAAUAGCUAUCGAAAUUUUUUUCUUAGUGAUACAAACAGAAACAUCAAAACCAGGCAAUUAUGCUUAAUUUGUUUUUUUUUUUUUUUUGGUUUUACAAUUAAACUGUGACAGUUAUGCUUGUGAAAAGUUCUCUGGUAAUCUCAUCUAGGAGUCCAUUAAGCACAUACUUCUCCACAUCUUUGAUAACAUCAUCUUUCUCAAGAAACCCAAACAUGGCGUUAUUCCAACCCAAGUCCCACAUACAAUUCAGAUCUGGUUCCUUGUUGUUGACAUCAGCCUCAAGCAUUUUGGGUUGGUAGUCUUCAAAGGGAGAAUCUUCUCUGCCGUCCUUUCCAUAUAACUUCAACUUAUCAAAGUCCUUGCACAUUUGUUUGACCAACUCAUCCAAGGAUUUUGCUUUGUUUGAAGUGAUGGGUACCUUUAGAAAUGGGUGAACACUUAGUUCCUGCCUUCUUCCUUUCCUUUUCAUUACUUCGUAGCCACAGUCUAAAACGAGCUUGCUGUCUUGGUCGAUGUGAUGGUCGUAGCUGUUUGAAUGAAGAAUGCUGAUAGGAAUGUUGAGUUUGAAAAGCGCCUCUGCUGUGUUCAUAAAUAGUUGGCUUUUCAGAAGUAUCUGCUUGAGGUGAUUUUCACUUUCUGUUAGUGGCUCUGGCUUCUUUGCCAUAGAAGUUCUUUGAUUCUGUGGCUGUGGGAUGCAAGAAUUUUCUGUGCUCUCUUCACGAGUUCCUAAAAAGCAAUGAACUUUAGCAGAUAAGUUUCUUCCUCUUCCAAAACCACCCCUCCAGAAACAAUAAAAAGGAAAACAUCUGAUACUGCUAUUACCAUGCCGUAAUUGAUAGAAUGAUUAGAAGAAUUGACGUUUCCUUAAGAGGGUGGUAUCUUAUGCAUGUAGUCGACUAUUUUCGGUUAGUUUCCAUAUAGUGAAGUGGGAAAUUAUGCAUGUUUGUUUUUAUGUGCAUUCACUUUUUCUGAAGUAGUAUAUGUUAGAAGUUGGUGUAAGCUCAUCUUUUUAGACACUUCAGUUAAAUGAAAAAAAUGAGAAAAAAAAAAAAAAAACCAUUCAUGAAUUGUAAUUUGAAAAUUUGAGAAAAGAUCUGCAAAAUUGUACUUACCUUGAAGUGGAUCAGAUACACUCUCUUUAACCUCAUGUUCAUCGUCUCUGCCAAAACCAGGUUCUUGAUUUUGCUGUUCUUUUGUAAAUGUUGGCACUGUAUUCUGACACUGCAUAAGAUCGAAACAGUUAUUUGGGCUUUGACUAAUAUAGUUGGUUAAUGAGUACAGUUAUGGCGAUCUUACGCUAUGUUUUGUAGCUAAAACUUGUUCUUCGUUUUGACCUUGGCAUUCAUCUUCUAAACGACUCUGCAAAAUUGAAUCUUUUUGUGCUUCUGUCUGCAGUUCUUGUGCUACGCGUGAUGAUUUUGGGCUUGC